This 479-nucleotide ribosomal RNA is filed under the name uncultured organism. RNAcentral's name for it is "partial 16S ribosomal RNA". It matches the Rfam family "Bacterial small subunit ribosomal RNA", at positions 331 to 801 of the family's 1533-position model. The record is from RNAcentral.
GUACACUCCUACGGGAGGCAGCAGUGGGGAAUUUUGGACAAUGGGCGAAAGCCUGAUCCAGCCAUGCCGCGUGCAGGAUGAAGGCCUUCGGGUUGUAAACUGCUUUUGUACGGAACGAAACGGCCUUUUCUAAUAAAGAGGGCUAAUGACGGUACCGUAAGAAUAAGCACCGGCUAACUACGUGCCAGCAGCCGCGGUAAUACGUAGGGUGCAAGCGUUAAUCGGAAUUACUGGGCGUAAAGCGUGCGCAGGCGGUUAUGUAAGACAGUUGUGAAAUCCCCGGGCUCAACCUGGGAACUGCAUCUGUGACUGCAUAGCUAGAGUACGGUAGAGGGGGAUGGAAUUCCGCGUGUAGCAGUGAAAUGCGUAGAUAUGCGGAGGAACACCGAUGGCGAAGGCAAUCCCCUGGACCUGUACUGACGCUCAUGCACGAAAGCGUGGGGAGCAAACAGGAUUAGAUACCCGGGUAGUCCCAUGAU